CCUACGGGAGGCAGCAGUGGGGAAUAUUGCGCAAUGGGCGAAAGCCUGACGCAGCGACGCCGCGUGAGGGAUGAAGGUCUUCGGAUCGUAAACCUCUGUCAGCAGGGAAGAACGGUCACUGUGCUAAUGAGCAGUGAAUUGACGGUACCUGCAAAGGAAGCACCGGCUAACUCCGUGCCAGCAGCCGCGGUAAGACGGAGGGUGCGGGCGUUAAGCGGAAUUAGUGGGCGUAAAGCGCUCGUAGGCGGUAUGGUAAGUCAAGGGUGAAAGCCCCGCGCUCAACGUGGGAACUGCCGUUGAAACUGGCAAACUGGAGUGUGUGAGAGGAUAGUGGAAUUCCAGGUGUAGGAGUGAAAUCCGUAGAUAUCUGGAGGAACAUCAGUGGCGAAGGCGACUAUCUGGCACAUAACUGACGCUGAGGAGCGAAAGCGUGGGUAGCAAACAGGAUUAGAUACCCGGGUAGUC
Molecule: ribosomal RNA, 465 nt
Filed under: uncultured bacterium
Lineage: Bacteria
Description: partial 16S ribosomal RNA
Rfam family: Bacterial small subunit ribosomal RNA
Source: RNAcentral